GAUGAACGCUGGCGGCGUGCCUAAUACAUGCAAGUCGAGCGAACGGACGAUAAGCUUGCUUUUCUGAUGUUAGCGGCGGACGGGUGAGUAACACGUGCAUCACCUACCUAUAAGACUGGGAUAACUUCGGGAAACCGGUGCUACUACCGGAUAAUAUUUUGAACCGCAUGGUUCAAAAGUGAAAGACGGUCUUGCUGUCACUUAUAGAUGGUUCCGCGCUGCAUUAGCUAGUUGGUAAGGUAACGGCUUACCAAGGCAACGAUGCAUAGCCGACCUGAGAGGAUGAUCGGCCACACUGGAACUGAGACACGGUCCAGACUACUACGGGAGGCAGCAGUAGGGAAUCUUCCGCAAUGGGCGAAAGCCUGACGGAGCAACGCCGCGUGAGUGAUGAAGGUCUUCGGAUCGUAAAACUCUGUUAUUAGGGAAGAACAUAAGUGUAAGUAACUGUGCACAUCUUGACGGUACCUAAUCAGAAAGCCACGGCUAACUACGUG
Molecule: ribosomal RNA, 497 nt
Filed under: uncultured bacterium
Lineage: Bacteria
Description: partial 16S ribosomal RNA
Rfam family: Bacterial small subunit ribosomal RNA
Source: RNAcentral